This is a long non-coding RNA of Amphimedon queenslandica, 616 nucleotides long. RefSeq lists it as uncharacterized. Lineage: Eukaryota; Metazoa; Porifera; Demospongiae; Haplosclerida; Niphatidae. The transcript is spliced from 2 exons. The record is from RefSeq and is a predicted model, not a curated record.
AACGUUAUAACACCCCCGCUAGGGAUACAUUGCAUUUGUAUGACCGAGCCCGAGGGCCGCAGGCCCGAGGGCGAGGUCAUACAAAUGCAAUGUAUCCCGCAGCGGGGGUGUUAUCAACAUAUUUAUGUAGUAGUGAGUGGGCGUAUCAAAGGCGCGCGCCAAUGCGCAUGCUCAGUAGCACCACACCUCGUGGUAAAAUGGUAGCAAUGGAGGACAGGAGGCUCACAAAAAGGCUAUAAUGUCUGGAAGAGGUCUAGAACAGAGAUCCUGCGCUUGCUGACCGGCCAUGUAUCGAUCUUACCUUCCCCGGCCAUCUAUAUUUAUUAUUGAGGCUUAGUCAACCAUUGAUUUCAACGCGGAAGGAAAGCAGUGAAACUCUACCUGCAUGGAUUAUUGGUCUGUGAAUCGAUCUAAAGUUUUCUGCACUCCGGAGACUCACAAUUGUUCCGACUUUGUACCCGCUGUCCGUUCCCGCGGGCCACUGGACCUAGGCCAGACUUUAUUGCAAGCUUUAUUGACAGUUGACUUUCAGCUUAUAAUACCUGUACAAUAAUGUUGUUUCUUAUAUUUUAUUUUAAGAGAUUUUUUCUGUCAACCCACAGGGCUACAAAUAAAA